RNAcentral lists this ribosomal RNA (383 nucleotides) under uncultured eukaryote. RNAcentral's name for it is "partial 18S ribosomal RNA". It matches the Rfam family "Eukaryotic small subunit ribosomal RNA", at positions 592 to 976 of the family's 1831-position model. The record is from RNAcentral.
CAAUAGCGUAUAUUAAAGUUGUUGCAGUUAAAAAGCUCGUAGUUGGAUUUCUGGUAGGAGUGACCGUGCCAGACUUGAUUGUCUGUGUAUUGUGUUGUCUCCAGCCAUCCUUGUGGAGAACUUUUCUUGCAUUAAUUUGUAGGGAUUGGGACCCGCAUCGUUUACUGUGAAAAAAUUAGAGUGUUUAAAGCAGGCAAUCGCUUGAAUACAUUAGCAUGGAAUAAUAAGAUAGGACUUUGGUACUAUUUUGUUGGUUUGCAUACCAAAUUAAUGAUCAACAGGAACAGUUUGAGGAUAUUCGUAUGAACAUGUCAGAGGUGAAAUUCUUGGAUCUUGACCAGACGAACUACUGCGAAAGCAUUUAUCAAGGAUGUUUUCAUUAA